AUGCGAGAAUCUUUUCCCUAUUUAUUUGAAUGGCAGAUUUGAGGUAUAUUUUAAAUUUCGAGGACAAAACUUUUAAAAAAAGAAAAGAAUGUGAUAUACUGAAUCUUAACAAAUAUGCAAGGUUGCAGUACGAAUUUUUAAUCAGUAUUUUUUUAUAGUGCUUAACUGAGUUGGAAACGUUUUGGCGUGAAAUAGACGCAAAAAUGAACUCAAAAACUCGAGAUUUAAUUUGUGGGGGA
Molecule: long non-coding RNA, 239 nt
Filed under: Ananas comosus (pineapple)
Lineage: Eukaryota; Viridiplantae; Streptophyta; Magnoliopsida; Poales; Bromeliaceae
Description: long non-coding RNA (ACOM_LNC012458)
Source: RNAcentral